This is a non-coding RNA of Caenorhabditis elegans, 21 nucleotides long. The record is from Ensembl. NCBI's taxonomy places the organism in Eukaryota, Metazoa, Nematoda, Chromadorea, Rhabditida, Rhabditidae.
UCGUUUCCAAUAAAUCGUUAA